Molecule: ribosomal RNA, 251 nt
Filed under: uncultured prokaryote
Description: partial 16S rRNA
Rfam family: Bacterial small subunit ribosomal RNA
Source: RNAcentral
ACGGAGGGUGCGAGCGUUAUUCGGAAUUACUGGGCGUAAAGCGCGUGCAGGCGGGUUGGCAAGUCUGGUGUGAAAGCCCCCGGCUCAACCGGGGGAGUGCGUUGGAAACUGCUUAUCUUGAGUGAUGGAGAGGAAGGGAGAAUUCCCGGUGUAGAGGUGAAAUUCGUAGAGAUCGGGAGGAAUACCAGUGGCGAAGGCGACCUUCUGGACGGCAACUGACGCUGAGACGCGAAAGCGUGGGGAGCAAACAG